Molecule: long non-coding RNA, 281 nt
Filed under: Mytilus galloprovincialis (Mediterranean mussel)
Lineage: Eukaryota; Metazoa; Mollusca; Bivalvia; Mytilida; Mytilidae
Source: RNAcentral
AUCUUGAAUAUUAUUAUAGAUAGAGAUAAACUGUAAACAGCAAUAAUGUUCAGCAAAGUAUGAUCCACAAAUAAGUCAACAAGACCAAAAAGGUCAGUUGACCCCUUAAGGAGUUAUUGCCUUUUAUAGUCAAUUUUUAAUAAUUUUGUAAAUUUUGUAAAUUUUUGUAAAUUUUAACAAAAUAUUUUCCUCUGUAACUAAUGGGCCAAGUUCAUUAUAAAUUGAGAUAAUUCUAAGAAGCAAGAAUGUUCAGUAAAGUAAGAUCUACAAACACAUCACCA